UGCCCCAUGGUGUAACUGGCAACACGCCGGAUUCUGGUUCCGGAGAGUCUAGGUUCGAUCCCUAGUGGGGCAA
This 73-nucleotide transfer RNA is filed under the name Gemmatimonadaceae bacterium. RNAcentral's name for it is "tRNA-Gln". It matches the Rfam family "tRNA". Rfam says of the family: Transfer RNA (tRNA) molecules are approximately 80 nucleotides in length. Their secondary structure includes four short double-helical elements and three loops (D, anti-codon, and T loops). Further hydrogen bonds mediate the characteristic L-shaped molecular structure. tRNAs have two regions of fundamental functional importance: the anti-codon, which is responsible for specific mRNA codon recognition, and the 3' end, to which the tRNAs corresponding amino acid is attached (by aminoacyl-tRNA synthetases). tRNAs cope with the degeneracy of the genetic code in two manners: having more than one tRNA (with a specific anti-codon) for a particular amino acid; and 'wobble' base-pairing, i.e. permitting non-standard base-pairing at the 3rd anti-codon position. Lineage: Bacteria; Pseudomonadati; Gemmatimonadota; Gemmatimonadia; Gemmatimonadales; Gemmatimonadaceae. RNAcentral also lists the same sequence under 3 other names. The record is from RNAcentral.